UUAUCCUUGGCUCACAGUCCAUUCAAAUGUUCGUAAGGCCACACAUUGGCCAGUCAAAUUGGGUUCAUACAUGUUAACCUUUACACAAGUUCAAAUGGCACAUCGUGCCUACAUAAAUCAAAGCCAACCAUAUGUGGAAGCUCAUGACGGACUCAGUGGAGUGACCAAAAUAGAGGACCUACCGGAUAGCAAAACUGGUCUAUCUAUUAACAACCUUUGCCACACAACUCCAUAGUUUAUUUAUCUGCACAUGGUACACAAAUACACAUUGGGCGAGUACUAUAAUACUCAAUGAGUGGUGUAAACACUCAAAAUCAUACAUAUAUAUGUACAAACACAUAUAUAAAAUAUAUAUGCACUAUCUGUGCAUCUGGGUGUUCUAUCAAACAUCUCUAAGCAUAGGGCAUAUCAUUAUCCCUAAAGUCUCCAAUGUGAGGGCAUAUCAAUAUCUUCAAUGUCUCCAAAGUUCAUCACACAUAUCAUUAGGCUUACCCCCGAAGUCGAUCAAAAUUAUUCAAAUCAUUCUCCAUGGCACACUCUAGUAACCGAAGUAUCACAUCAAAAUCAUAUCAUAUUUAUCUAAGCCUCUCCAUGGCUACCUCACAUCAUAUGCAAGUCAAAUCAAUGAGUGGUCCUCCCCUAGACACAAUCAAAUCACGUUCGGUGGCCAAUCAGAUGGAAAAUCAGAUUACCCUCAGGGCAAAGCCGCUGGCAAAGAAACAGAUCACACACGUGCCGAAGCAACUGGCAAAGAACAAAUCACGCACAGCUUCGGAGUAAUUGGCAGAGAAUCAUAAUUAUUGGCAUCACCCGAAGUACUAAGCAACGGACGGAUAACAAAUCACGCACAGCUCCGAAGCAAUUGACGAAGAAUCAAAAUUAUUGGCAUCACCUGGAGUACUCUCAAACGGGUGGCAUUAAAGCACUGCAAGCGAGAAUCAUAAGCAAGAUUAAUGCCACCAUCCCUACUUACCACAACCCCUGUAGGCACACAUAUAAUCACAAGGGGAAAGGAACUCCACUCAUCCAUAAAUUAGAUCAACAUCCAAAAUUCAUCCCUCGAACAAGACACGAAUCCACAAAUAAGGCCAUCAUGCCUUUAUCAUUGACAUUAUUUAUCAUUGAACCUCAAUUCAUAUUUAUCAAGACUUUAAGCUCGUUAAAGUUCUAAGUGCCUCUAAGUCUCCAAGGCAUCAUUCAAUUAAUUCAUCUCAAUAUAUGAUUCACCUAAGGUAAUCUAUUCCUUAGGGUUCAUCAUAACAUCUAAACGUCUUACUCUAGGCACACAUAGCAUACGCCACCCAUGUGGCUCACAUCACAACACACAAUCACACACCAUUCACAUGUAUACAUAUACACAUUUAUUGUUCUCUAACCUAGGUUCAUUCGUCUAGGCAUACAUAUUUCAUUCUAAUACCAUGGCAGCACAUUUAUCGUGCAUUAUGCAUUACAUGUAUUUUAUUUAAACCCACUCACAGUGAUAAAUUGGAGGUAGUCCCAAUUGAGCUUCGAUCUUUAGCCUCCAAUCGUCGUCUAGCUUGCCAACGAGCUGAUUAACUCUAUUUCUCCCUUAGAACACAUCAAACAUCCAUUUAUUAGUUAAUUCUUGGCUUUCAAAAAAUGCCAACUUUUGUACAAUUUACCAAUUCUUAGCAAUCCAACUAUUUAAGCUCAAAUCCUUCAUUAACGAGCUAAACCCAUACCUUAGAAGUUGGAUUGUACGAGUCUUAGCUCUAAAUUCUCUAAUCCAAGCCGAAGAGGAAAAAUUACCAAAUUUGGAGAAAAUUGGAUUUUAAAGUUAUUAACCGAUUAAAUUGAAAAAUAAUCGGUAAAAAUGUUAAAUCUUACCUUCAGGAUGGUUUCUCAAGCUUCAAAUGGCUCAAAAAUACAAUUUGGGGGCUAGGGUUUUGGGUUUCUAGAGAGAGUGAGGGUGAAAGAAAUGAGUGAAAGAAAUAGGGUGAAAUAGCCUAAACCCCUUUUUAUUUUUACCUUUUCUCUAUGAUGUAUCGAUACAUUUGGCAAUGUAUCGAUACAUCUACCCAAAUUUCAAAUGAAUGUAUUGAUACAUUGAGGAAAUGUAUCGAUACAUUUCAAGCAAAAUGGCCUUGGGUGCUUUUUGCUUCAAAUGUAUCAGUACAUUAAGAUAAGGUAUUGAUACAUGUUCAUCUUUUGCCAAAUCUAUUGAUACAUUUUUAAAUGUACCGAUAGAAUUCCUCCAGAACACCUCAUAUUGUUCUUCCUGCCAAGAAUGUAUUGAUACAUGAGAGUAUGUAUCGAUACAUCUUCCCUUAUAGGCAGCUUUAAGCUUCUAAAACUUUCAAAAAUUCAAGUUUAACACCCCAAAAUCAUUCCUUGUGAAUGUCACACCUCAAAUCAUUUGUUUAACUUAAUCCCAUACACAUAAAUUCAUAACCAUAACAUCAAACUUAGAUCAAAACCUCAAACUAUGGGAUUUAUCACAUAUUUCCUCAAAAUUUGCCUAAGUGCACAUUUAUCUAUGUAUAUAUCCUUAAACACUUAGCAUACACAACAUAUUAUCAAUUUACUUAAUUUACAUUGAAAAUUAGGGGUGUUACAAUACACAUCUCAUGGCAUUUCCUCAUGCCAACUCUUUCAUCAUAUUGUAUGUAAAACAUGCAUUACAUACAUAAUCUCAUAGCAUUUAUCAUGCUUCCUCAAACAUUUCAUGUAGUGUAUGGAGAACACAUCAUAUACAUAAAUAUAAUAUCUUAAAUGACAAUCAUCAUACAAGCCAUCACACAUUUCAUGCCUCAACAUAUCUAGCAUACACCUCAUACAUUCAUGCAUUAAUCAUAAAUCAUAUCUCGUACCGACACUAGUUCGAAGACUAAAGUAAUUAAAUGGACUCAAACAUAAUGUGCUUGUCCCCUUUUGUUGAAAACUAAUACAUAAUAUCAUAUUUACAUACAUAGUAGGUUGAAAACACGUUUUAUAAUAUUUUCCUCAUCCACAAAUAAAUUUUUAGUUCAUAAAUAUUUGCAAAAAAUCAUAUUCAUCAUUAAACCUCAAAUCAUGCUUCAACUUUACAUAUCAAAAUAAUUUUGAAAGCGGUGUAUUCACUCAUUUUAUAGGAAGCUCGAUUACAACUCCAAUUUUGUGUAAUUUGGUGUGUUUUCAAGCAUUCCUAUCACACAAUAUUUAUAACAAUCAAUUUCUAAACAAAUAAUCUCAAAAUAAUUAAUCUAGCAACUUUCGAAAUCUAUUUGCUUUUGACUAUAGCCACUUUCUCUCUCUAGACUAAGCUAGAAAUGCAUAAAUCUCCUAAACUUACCUUAAAUGAGCUUAGAUGUUGAAGGAAAUCACAAAAACUGUAACUUUAAUGCUCAACAAAAAUUUUUUGGAAAAAUAAUAAAUUUUCAGCAUUAAAAUGUGAACUUUAAAGGUUUUAUAGCAUAAAACCUUCAAAACAAAGAUCAAAAUCAUUAAAAGCAAUUAUUUUUCAUUAAAAAUGGAUAGAUAGAGUUUUAGAGAGGUUUUACCUUUCAAAAAAACUGUUGAAGGUUGAGAAACCUUCGAAUAUUUAGUCAUAUUUAUAGUUUAAGAAGUGAAAAUAUGCUCUUAGCCUUUUUAUUUUUAUGAAAACAACAUCAUCUAUCGUUAGAUCAAAGUUAUCUAUUGAUAGAUGAGCUUUAGAACCCUUUCUGGAAGUUUUUUGGUAGCCAUCUAUCAAUAGAUUUGACCAUCUAUGGAUGGAUUUGCUCAUCUAUCCAUAGAUAUUCUUUAGGACAGCUUUGAUAAACCCUUUCUGGAUUGUAUCUAUUGAUAAAUGAAGAGCAUCUAUCGAUAGAUUGAGUCCAGAAAGCAAAAACAAACUUUAAAAACAUGUCUAGUUGAACUCCUUUUAACACCAAACUUUGUAAAUCAUCUUAAUGCAACAAAACAUGAAUUUUUCUUAGAUCAAAACUUACUCUUUAACUUUCCAAACAUAAAAAUCAUCUUAAAACAUUACACCAUAAAAUUUUCCAUUCACAACUAAUUUUCAUGUUUUCAAAACACAAUUUAACUUGCUCAUCUAAGGAUUUCUAACUUAGCAAAUCCUACGUUAGGGUGGGGUUUCACUACUGUUGUAUUGGUUAUACCUUUACUCAAAAGGUAAAAAGGUUUUGCCUAAUCCUUUAAAAGGCUAUAUCUUGUAUAAAGGUUGUGCUUGAACUUGAAAAGGUAACGUCCUGGUAAAAGUUAUGCCUGAUCCUAUGAAAAGGCAUGUUGUGAAGGUUACACCUAAUCUUGUUAAAUGGCAUGUUAUAAAGGUUACACCUGAUCCUGUGGAAAAGGCAAGUUGAUAAUAGAUUCGAACUCUUUGUGCUAUCAAGGGAAAGGACGUAAGCAUUGGUAGGCCGAACCUUUAUAAAAAUCCAACUGAAUACUCUUUAUCUUUUUUCACUUUGCUUAUUUAGUUGAUACUCUAUUUUGUUGCUUUAUUUCUCACAUCUCCAUUGCAUUUUCAAAGUUCUUUAAAAAGGGGAAACUUUUAAUUUAUAACUAAUUCACCCCUUUUAGUUGUUUUACUUGAAGCUUAUCUUACUAACAAUGUUUACAAUGACACAUUCUUACAUGUAAUUAGCACCAUCACAUCUUCAUUUCAAAGAAAGAAAAAAGAUAAGUGCAAGUUGGAAUCAAAACUUGAUAAAAUUGUGUUCCAAAAUUGCUCUUAAGCAUUAAAUUGAAACCCUUUUUCUCAACAAAAAAAAACAUGGUUUAAAUUUCUCAUUUAUGUAAAAACACCUUUUUUUCUUCCCAGAAUGGAAAUGAGUGCAAUAAGAAAUGUUCUAUCCAUUUAUACUCAAGUGACAAACCAUGCAAAGCUGAACAUAGCUAGAUAUGGAAACAUUGUCUAGGACAAGUAACUUUAUUUUUUCACAAAUUAAGAAGCACAUUCGCAAAAUCAAUUAUCAUUUUAAGAAAAAACAAUGAGUAAAUGAAAGUCAAUGUCCAAAAUGUAAAGCAAUUUAAAGUCCAAAGGUAAGUACUAAACAACAGAAGAAAUGAAGAAAGAAUAACUACCACCACUAAUAGAGUUCUUUUGUUCUUUUAAAAGUGUACAAAGGGAUGAUGAGCUUUUCUACAUGUAUUAUAAUAUAUUGAAAAGAUACAUGUCUGUAUAAAGGAAUGAAGAAUAUAAAUAUGCUACAGUACAAAGCAAGUGGAGUAUAAUAGUAUGAAGCAAGAAUAAAAUUGUGGUAGUGCAAGAUCCAGAAGGGAACCAACCCAUUACCAUUGUCACCAAAACUAAGCUAUUACCACACUCACCGAGACCAAACAACCCAUUAUCACCUUCUAUGAUCUUGCAAUCACAGCACUUUUUUAUCCAUGGAAUAAACAACAAAAAUUAAAAAUCACAACACCACCAAAAUAAAUUAAACCUUCAUUCAUGGAAAAUCAAUGAAUACCAAAGAACCAAAACCGAGUGUCAAAGACAAAGUGCCUGCAAACUUUGGAAAAACUCGAAAAAGUGAAAUACUAGAACACAAAGAAACACCAUUGACAAUUGUAGAAAACGCUACAGAAACUAUGAAAAAAGACAUAACAGAAAAAACAAAACAUCAGUGAGAGAAAAACCGUCAAGAACCAUCUAAAACGAAAUACCAAAAUAGAAAAAAACGCAGCCGUCAGCAAAGAGAACGAAGAAGUGACGUCGCAAGGAAAUCAGAGAGAGUGAGUGUUGUCGCUAAGGAAAACCCAAAAACAAAAAUGAACAGAAGGGAAAAAACCCCACACACCUAAACCAGAAGGAAACAACAGGCACAAACCACCGUCGAUACCCCAAAGGUAGAGGUCGAACCGAGGAGAGCAUCGCACGAACAAACGGUACCAAUGAGAAGGAGUCGAAAACAGAAGGAAAAAGAAAAACAAAAAGCCCUAGGUGGCAACUAUGGGAGAGAAAAAAACAAAAGAAGGAAAAAAGGAAAAUGAGGAGUGAAAAU
This 5945-nucleotide long non-coding RNA is filed under the name Theobroma cacao (cacao). RNAcentral's name for it is "long non-coding RNA (TCAC_LNC005880)". The record is from RNAcentral. Lineage: Eukaryota; Viridiplantae; Streptophyta; Magnoliopsida; Malvales; Malvaceae.